AAACUUCACUAUAGAAGUCUGCUUUUCCUCUUCACCUGAAACUUCAGUUGGUUUGGCCUCUGAAGUAGUAGCAGUGGGUUCUAUCUUCUUCUUAUUGGGUUGUGGCGGUUUGAAGAGCUGAAGGAAACUGCCGGUUUGGCGUCUGAAGUAGUAGCAGUGGGUUCUAUCUUCUUCUUAUUGGGUACUGGCGGUUUGAAGAGCUGAAGGAAACUGCAGAGCAAUGAGAAAAUAGGGUUUUUGUUGGGUUUGUCAUCUUUUCCGGCAUCUGGGUUCGGAAUUGAGUCGUUGCAGAUUGUUGUUUUGGUUUCCGCCAUAGCCAAUUUAGAGUUUUGACUUUA
This 338-nucleotide long non-coding RNA is filed under the name Nicotiana benthamiana. Its description in RNAcentral is "long non-coding RNA (NBEN_LNC008979)". The record is from RNAcentral. Lineage: Eukaryota; Viridiplantae; Streptophyta; Magnoliopsida; Solanales; Solanaceae.